Molecule: long non-coding RNA, 497 nt
Organism: Solenopsis invicta (red fire ant)
Lineage: Eukaryota; Metazoa; Arthropoda; Insecta; Hymenoptera; Formicidae
Exons: 2
Source: RefSeq, a predicted model, not a curated record
ACGAAAUUAGGCUCAUUCGACGCGUUUUCGCACGAAACGAACAAAUCUGGCAAAAAAAAGUAUCGCUCUGCCCCGCGAACCAAGAUAUCAAGCACUAAAGUUGACGAUUAUUGAGGUUAGGAAACCUGUCAUACCGACAUGCGUAUAUACAUACACGGUAUUAACAUAUACUGUGGACUUUAUGUUUCGAUCACGCUUGACAUUCAUCAGCCAUAAUAAAUUAUAAAUUUAAAUUGUGCACAGAGCUGGUUCGUCGUUGCCGUGUAUAGUAAGUCAUUUCACUUUUUAAUGGCAUAAAAAAUGUUCUCUAAUAUAAAUGUUUUAAAAUAAUUGCCUCAAAAGAAUUAUGAGUUUAAAUAAAUAUAAUUAAACGCAACAAAAUAAAAAUAUGGAAUUAUUUUUAUGUCGAUGAAUAAGGUGUAUUUCAGUGCAUUCAAAAUACUGUAUCUGAAAAUGUAGGAUUUUUAAAAGUAAAAAAGAAAUUUUCUGAAAGUUAA